UGGGGAAUAUUGGGACAAUGGGCGCAAGCCUGAUCCAGCAAUGCCGCGUGUGUGAAGAAGGCCUUCGGGUUGUAAAGCACUUUUAUCAGGAGCGAAACGCUGUCGGCUAAUACCCGGCGGAACUGACGGUACCUGAGGAAUAAGCACCGGCUAACUUCGUGCCAGCAGCCGCGGUAAUACGAAGGGUGCAAGCGUUAAUCGGAAUUACUGGGCGUAAAGCGUGCGUAGGCGGUUUCUUAAGUCUGCUGUGAAAUCCCCGGGCUCAACCUGGGAAUGGCAGUGGAUACUGGGAGGCUAGAGUGUGUCAGAGGGUGGUGGAAUUCCCGGUGUAGCGGUGAAAUGCGUAGAGAUCGGGAGGAACAUCAGUGGCGAAGGCGGCCACCUGGGGACAACACUGACGCUGAGGCACGAAAGCGUGGGGAGCAAACAGGAUUAGAUACCCCUGGUAGUCCCACGCCCCUAAAACGAUGCGAACUGGAUGUUGGUCUCAACUCGGAGAUCAGUGUCGAAGCUAACGCGUUAAGUUCGCCGCCUGGGGAGUACGGUCGCAAGACUGAAACUCAAAUGAAUUGAC
RNAcentral lists this ribosomal RNA (574 nucleotides) under uncultured bacterium. Its description in RNAcentral is "partial 16S ribosomal RNA". It matches the Rfam family "Bacterial small subunit ribosomal RNA", at positions 355 to 914 of the family's 1533-position model. The record is from RNAcentral.